UUCUGUUGCAACAAGUCACAAGAUUGGAAAGAUUAAUCUGUAGAUUAAAUUUAAACAUAUGUAAGAAAUUUGGGCUGUCAAUUGGAUGCAAGCAAUAGCCAUCCAUUUUAUAUCAGUGGAUUUUCUUUUCUGAAGAAGCAGAUGGAACUGGAUGGAAAUGACACUUGGAUAGUGGGAUAGUUGGAUAGUGAGAGAGAGAGACACACACACACACUUCGGCAGCACCUGGGUUUCGGCCUGAAAAGUCAACUAUGCUUUUUUCCAUAGAUGCUGCCUGGCCUGCUAAGUUCCUCCAGCAUUUUGUGUGUGUUGCUCAGCACGACCACGAUAGUUGGAAGUGGGAGGAUUUGUGGUAGAUGAAAAGCCUUUCAAUAAUAUUCAAGUUUGCCAGAGGUUCAGUGUUUAACCUUGACUGGCAGAACCUAACCAAAUAGAUCCAAUAAAACUGUUUUCUUUUCGCAGUGUUUGUCAAGUCAAUGUAUUACGCAGAAAGAUACAAAGGCGCAUUCAAUGUAAUCAAUUGAGGAAUGUGGGAUUCAGCAGCCUUGUGGACUAUUGUAGAUAAAAGUUAGAACAAACUCAGAGCCUCUUGCCUAGGCAGGCAAUGAAACGAGUAGUUUUGUUUCAAGACUGUUAAUUUUACCGUGUUACAAUCAAUCUGGAGUGAUGACACUUGAGGCUCUUCCCUGAUCAGCCUGCUUUUGAUAUUCAGUAAGAUUCCCACUCCAAGUACUGAUACCCAUUUGAGUUCAUCCCAGAAUGUUUCUGACAAGGCUUCCGUUUUCUGGAUAUCGUUUAAGUUGCCCAAAUAACGUGGAACUCGGGCACCGCUGCGGUGAAAGGCUCCGGGCCUAGAACAUGCCACCCAGCGACUCGCUCCUGGCCAAGAUUUCACCACCAGCCCGAAGCCGCUGCUCUUGAUUUCUCCAAAUUGGCUCGGUGCCCAGGCCAGUUACAAGGGCAUCGAAACUCCUCUGCCUCAACCUCCCCUCCUCAAAUGGCUCACUCCAUCUGCGUCGAUUCUGCAACGUAGCAGCGUGGUCCAUCCCUCGAAUUUCUUUUGCUCGCCUCUUCAUUGUUUAUGGUGAUAAUUUACCACAAUCUACUUCAGGAAAGUGUUAUUCAUAAAGUUUUUUUUAGCAGAACUCCUUGCCUUUUAAACUACCAGUAAGCUGUUGUGUGUGCUCGGUCGUGCCGUCUUAAACUGGAAGUUAAACUGGAAUUUUGCAACAUGAUCCUUGACAUGAUCAUUAACCAGAAACAUUAACCUGAAUCAACCAUGUCUACAAGAUCAGGCCAGAGGCUGUGAUUGAUUCCCAAACUUGCUAAACUGUUUCGAUUGUUAACAAAGUCUAUCAGGAGCAUUAUGGAAUGCUCCCUGGUUUUGUGCAGGACCAACAACAAUCGAGAAAUUUGACUCCAUCCUGGACAAAUUUGCGUAGUUGUUUGUCGCCCCUGCCCCCAUCCUUAAUGUCAAAGUUGAAUCUCUUCUCUCGUGCUUAAGUACAUGCAAGCGCAGGUGCAUUAUCUCCCUUCAGAAAUAAGGUACCAUGGUAACAAUUGUGCUGUCAGCAAAAUGCACUGCAAUUAUUCAGCUCAUCUAUUCUAACAACUGCUCCCAACCUCAUGACCCCAAUCAUGCAUCAUCACCAUGCAUCUGCAGGUUUUCCUCCAAGUUAUACAAUCCUGUUUAUGAACCUAAUGCAAAUCCUUCAUAGCCUUUGGGUCUAAUCACUGGAGUUCCAGUUAUCUUCAGCACAGGGUGCAAAUGUUCAAAAGAUACUUCACCACCAUCUCUAAGAGAUGGACAUCAAAGGGUUCAAAGGUACAUUUAAUGUCAGAGAAAUGUAUACUAUAUAUAUCCUGAAAUGCUUUUUCUUCGCAACCAUCCAGAAAACAGAGGAGUGCCCCCAAAGAAUGAACGACAGUUAAAUGUUAGAACCCCAAAAUCCCCCCCCACCAGCUCCCCUCCCUCCCACGUUACGCGCAACAAUCCCACCUCCUCCUCCCACUGGCAACAAAAAGCAUCAGCACCCGCCUCCAAGCACUCAAGCGUGAGCAAGGAAACAGACUUGCAGUACUCCAAAGACUGCUUGUUCACCCGGUAUUCGACAUACCUCAGGCACGCUCUCUCCCUAAUAAGACAGAAAGAGGUGUCUCCGUUUCACAUAGGGCAUGUGGCUAACCUUGACAACAUCACUCCCCAUCGUAAAUGAAUAAUAAUUAUAUUAACAGAAGAUAUUCUGCAGGUGCUGGACAUCCAGAACAAUACAUACGAAACACUGGAGAAGUGAAUGAACGGUCGACAUUUCAGGCUGAGACUUUUCUGCAGGGUUGG
Molecule: long non-coding RNA, 2338 nt
Organism: Hypanus sabinus (Atlantic stingray)
Lineage: Eukaryota; Metazoa; Chordata; Chondrichthyes; Myliobatiformes; Dasyatidae
Exons: 3
Source: RefSeq, a predicted model, not a curated record